CCCUUAGAGACUGAACUCCGCCAGGUGGUUUUGGUGAAAAAACGAUACAAGUCGGGGCCUCCCCUGGUGGCGCAGGCGGUUGAGCGACCUGCUGUGAAGCUGUCCCCAGCCACUGCAGUGCAGGUUCGAUCCCGCCCACCUUGGAGCAACCCACAUGGUGCGGCAGACCUCUCUUGUCUUACCCGCUGCUCCCCCCAGCAGUGUAUUUCGUCAGUCUGCCUGUUCUGUUCCCCACGCUGUCUCUGGUGAAUCCUCUCAGAGACAGGUUCCUCAUCCCUCCUCCCUCAGAGAGUCUGAAAUACUCAACGCUGCGGGUAUGUGUGAGGACUGUUGACUUAAGCAGAGCCUAGGAGCACACACUGACACUGAAAUAGGGAAAGCUAUUCCCAAACAGGCUGUAAGCCCUGCAUAAGCUGUGUAGGCUCUCUAACUCUUGGUAAGGAAGUGUUCCAGGCCCAAGGGCCAAGUAUAUUCUUAUGUAGCAAGAGGAGGUUGAAAGACCACAGGCAAUGCUUUUUUUUUUUUUUAAAGAUUUAUUUAUUUAUACAAGUACCGGGUACAGUCAGAAGCACAGGAGGGUGAGAGAAUUCACCAGAGCCAGAGCAGGGAGCAGGCAGACUGAGGAAGUACACUGCUGAGGGGAGCAGCGGGUGGCAGGAGAGGUCUGUGCGCGAUGUGGGACCCUCAUCCGGUGUCCAGGGAUCGAACCCACGCUGCAGAGGCUGCAGGUAGCUUCGCAACCCAGCGCUCAACCACUGCACCACCAGGGGAGAUCCACACAGGCAAUGCUUUCUUCCCACCAUACUCCAUGAAGAAUUAUUCCUGACUUCCAGUUGAUAUGACUGAUGUCCUUACUGAUGGUCAACUGGAAGCCACUCUGCUGGAGGUGGCCUGCAUUCCUUGCCAGGCAGCCCCUCCAUCUUCAAGCUAGCCAUGGGGAAUCUCCCUUGCCUCCGGCGUGCCUGAUACAGGCACCCUAGCCUUCUCUGCACGCAGGGGUCUGCGCUGAGAAGAGCCAGGAUCCGACCUGAUGGCUCCCCAUGCAUCUCCAUCAGGAUGGGCGGAGCCAACAGUGGCCGCUGAGCCGCAGGAGGUCCAGGGGCAGCAGAGAACCACGCCCCUUUACACAGGCAGCCAAUCAGGACUUGAGGUGCUGCUCCUGCCAUUGUGCAUGUUUUCACCAUUAUGAAGAACUGGCCUUUGACGGUUUAAGUUUUGGGGUUCCAGUUGGAACAAAAGGAGGCGCAGUGGGUUUGGCUCUCUGUUUUCAACACACUUUGGGCCUGUCUUGGUCUCACUGGAAAGAUCAUGGCCGGCAAAGGAAAGAUUCCCGACGACCAGCCAGAUGACAAAGCUGCACCAGGCCCUGAGGCCCCACCAGGCGCCAAGGCCCCUCCAGGCGCCAAGGCCCCGCCAGGUGCCAA
Talpa occidentalis (Iberian mole) is the source of this 1424-nucleotide long non-coding RNA. RefSeq lists it as uncharacterized. The transcript is spliced from 3 exons. The record is from RefSeq and is a predicted model, not a curated record. Lineage: Eukaryota; Metazoa; Chordata; Mammalia; Eulipotyphla; Talpidae.